This 335-nucleotide ribosomal RNA is filed under the name uncultured bacterium. RNAcentral describes it as "partial 16S ribosomal RNA". It matches the Rfam family "Bacterial small subunit ribosomal RNA", at positions 338 to 690 of the family's 1533-position model. The record is from RNAcentral.
CCUACGGGCGGCAGCAGUGGGGAAUAUUGCACAAUGGGGGAAACCCUGAUGCAGCGACGCCGCGUGAGUGAAGAAGUAAUUCGUUACGUAAAGCUCUAUCAGCAGGGAAGAAAAUGACGGUACCUGAGUAAGAAGCCCCGGCUAACUACGUGCCAGCAGCCGCGGUAAUACGUAGGUGGCAAGCGUUUUCCGGAUUUACUGGGUGUAAAGGGCGGGGAGCCGGGCUGACAAGUCAUAUGGGAAAACCCGGGGCUCAACCCCCGAACUGCAUUUGAAACUGGUUGUCUUGAGUAUCGGAGAGGAAGGCGGAAAUCCUAGGGGAGGGGGGAAAGGCG